GGAUGAGUGUCUGAGUGGUCGAAGGUAUCGGUCUUGAAAACCGACAUACGUUAUACGUAUCGGGGGUUCGAAUCCCUUCUCAUCCG
RNAcentral lists this transfer RNA (86 nucleotides) under Aliivibrio sp. RNAcentral's name for it is "tRNA-Ser". It matches the Rfam family "tRNA". Rfam says of the family: Transfer RNA (tRNA) molecules are approximately 80 nucleotides in length. Their secondary structure includes four short double-helical elements and three loops (D, anti-codon, and T loops). The record is from RNAcentral. Lineage: Bacteria; Pseudomonadati; Pseudomonadota; Gammaproteobacteria; Vibrionales; Vibrionaceae.